RNAcentral lists this ribosomal RNA (892 nucleotides) under uncultured Acidobacteriota bacterium. Its description in RNAcentral is "bacterial SSU rRNA". It matches the Rfam family "Bacterial small subunit ribosomal RNA", at positions 58 to 951 of the family's 1533-position model. Lineage: Bacteria; Pseudomonadati; Acidobacteriota. The record is from RNAcentral.
CAAGUCGAGUGCGCGUGCCGUAGCAAUACGGCAUGGCGCACGGCGCACGGGUGCGUAACACGUGGGCAAUCUGCCCUUCGAUGGGGAAUAACUCCGGGAAACCGGAGCUAAUUCCGCAUAACAUUCCUUGGACUUCGGUUCGAGGACUCAAAGCCGUAAGGCGUCGAAGGAGGAGCCCGCGCCCGAUUAGCUAGUUGGUAGGGUAACGGCCUACCAAGGCUUUGAUCGGUAGCUGGUCUGAGAGGAUGGCCAGCCACACUGGAACUGAGACACGGUCCAGACUCCUACGGGAGGCAGCAGUGGGGAAUCUUGCGCAAUGGGCGAAAGCCUGACGCAGCGACGCCGCGUGGGGGAUGAAGCAUCUCGGUGUGUAAACCCCUUUCGACUGGGACGAAUGCCUCGCAAGAGGAGUGACGGUACCAGUAGAAGAAGCCCCGGCUAACUACGUGCCAGCAGCCGCGGUAAGACGUAGGGGGCCAGCGUUGUUCGGAAUUACUGGGUGUAAAGGGUUCGUAGGCGGUGCGGCAAGUCGGGAGUGAAAUUUAUGGGCUUAACCCAGAAGCUGCUUCCGAAACUGCUGUGCUUGAGUGUGGGAGAGGCGCGUGGAAUUGCAGGUGUAGCGGUGAAAUGCGUAGAUAUCUGCAGGAACACCCGUGGCGAAAGCGGCGCGCUGGACCACAACUGACGCUGAGGAACGAAAGCUAGGGGAGCAAACAGGAUUAGAUACCCUGGUAGUCCUAGCCCUAAACGAUCAGGACUUGGGGUGCCACCCGUUCGGGUGUCGUCCCGGAGCUAACGCGUUAAGUCCUGCACCUGGGGAGUACGGUCGCAAGACUGAAACUCAAAGGAAUUGACGGGGGCCCGCACAAGCGGUGGAACAUGUGGUUCAAUU